UGGGGAAUAUUGGGCAAUGGGCGGAAGCCUGACCCAGCAACGCCGCGUGAAGGAAGAAGGCUUUCGGGUUGUAAACUUCUUUUCUAAGGGACGAAGGAAGUGACGGUACCUUAGGAAUAAGCCACGGCUAACUACGUGCCAGCAGCCGCGGUAAUACGUAGGUGGCAAGCGUUAUCCGGAUUUACUGGGUGUAAAGGGCGUGUAGGCGGGGAAGCAAGUCAGAUGUGAAAAGCCACGGGCUCAACCUGUGGCCUGCAUUUGAAACUGUUUUUCUUGAGUACUGGAGAGGCAGACGGAAUUCCUAGUGUAGCGGUGAAAUGCGUAGAUAUUAGGAGGAACACCAGUGGCGAAGGCGGUCUGCUGGACAGCAACUGACGCUGAGGCGCGAAAGCGUGGGGAGCAAACAGGAUUAGAUACCC
Molecule: ribosomal RNA, 419 nt
Filed under: uncultured bacterium
Lineage: Bacteria
Description: bacterial SSU rRNA
Rfam family: Bacterial small subunit ribosomal RNA
Source: RNAcentral